CGGGAUGCCCAGGCAACCGCGCGGCUAAACAGCCUCGAGGAAAGUCCGGGCUCCACAGCACAGGGUGGUCGAUAACGUCGACUCAAGGUAACUUGCAGGCCAGUGCCACAGAAAACAAACCGCCCCACACAGGGGUAAGGGUGAAAAGGUGAGGUAAAAGCUCACCAGUGCCGCAGGUGACUGCGGUAGCUCGGUAAACCCCACCCGGAGCAAGGCCAAACAGAGCGCGCCAGUAAUCAGUGCGGUGAAGCGCUCGGGUAGGCUGCUUGAGCCCCCAGGCAACUGCGGGCCUAGAUGGAUGGUUGCCGCCCACGUUGGUGGGUACAGAACCCGGCUUAUCGGGCAUCCUGUUCA
This 354-nucleotide RNase P RNA is filed under the name Rothia nasimurium. RNAcentral describes it as "Bacterial RNase P class A". It matches the Rfam family "Bacterial RNase P class A". Rfam says of the family: Ribonuclease P (RNase P) is a ubiquitous endoribonuclease, found in archaea, bacteria and eukarya as well as chloroplasts and mitochondria. Lineage: Bacteria; Bacillati; Actinomycetota; Actinomycetes; Micrococcales; Micrococcaceae. The record is from Rfam by way of RNAcentral.